UGCCCAAAUGAAUGGAUAAAGAAGAUAUGGUACAAGAAAUUGUUAAUGUGGCUACAUUGAGAGGCAGGUCGUGCUUCCAUCACAGUGGUUUUAUUGCAGUGGUGACAAUGAGACCUGUAACAUUU
Molecule: small nucleolar RNA, 125 nt
Organism: Manis javanica (Malayan pangolin)
Lineage: Eukaryota; Metazoa; Chordata; Mammalia; Pholidota; Manidae
Product: small nucleolar RNA SNORA1
Source: RefSeq, a predicted model, not a curated record